Lagenorhynchus albirostris (white-beaked dolphin) is the source of this 814-nucleotide RNA transcript. It is a transcript of the gene named stress associated endoplasmic reticulum protein family member 2, with no coding region annotated. NCBI's taxonomy places the organism in Eukaryota, Metazoa, Chordata, Mammalia, Artiodactyla, Delphinidae. The record is from RefSeq and is a predicted model, not a curated record. The transcript has 2 exons.
GGUCUGCUCCCAGGUGGACAAAGCCCUGACCCAGCCACGGGCUGCUUCUUGACUGGGCCGCCGGGGUACUCCAUCACCUUGCUCUGUUCUGGAUACUCGCUCCAGGACAAAUUUGAAUUCACCGUGUUUGCAGGUCGACCACAUAAGCACUGGCCUUUCCUGGAGACUGCCUGAACUAUCUUGAAAUUGUGACACCCAGAGGGAGUCACAGCCCCAAGAUGCAAGUUUGAGGAACUCAGCAGCCCUGGAGCAACCUUUCCGUUCCACCACAAAGGAAAGCUUGAGGACAUGCGUCUGCUCUGGAACUCCCGCCUCAGGAUCUGAGAUGCACGGUCUGGAAAAGAUGUCUCAUCAGCCAUUGGCUCCCUCAAGCUAUCUUCCAGAUCAUUCAGAGCAUAAGGAUGGGCAUGUGAGCGGGCUGGGCUUUGACACGGCCCCCUGCCGCUGGAGGGUGGAGGACCGCUUCAGCUCUUAGCCGGGUAUCUGUGGGAAGCUUACAAGCCACCCAGAAGAGAAAAAAAAGGCUCCCUCAACUGUUCCCUGAUCGCUUCAUCGUGGAUGUCAGACCAAAUUCCUUUCUCACAGGACAUCUCGGUACAUCCGUGUUCUCAAGCGGAAAGGACAUUUUGCUUUGCAGUUGGCAGGAUUGGUAGCUCUCCGGGUGUCUGCAGCAGAGCUGUCUGUCUGCUUUUGCCCUGGGUUUCGCUGAUGUCUGCAUGCGGGCUUCUGAAUGAUCACCGCUUUACUUUCUAUGGAUACGAUCUCUGCUCCAUUGGGAAUUGCUUUUACAAAUAAAUGUCUUUGUUCAACCUUA